Molecule: long non-coding RNA, 893 nt
Organism: Capsicum annuum
Lineage: Eukaryota; Viridiplantae; Streptophyta; Magnoliopsida; Solanales; Solanaceae
Exons: 5
Source: RefSeq, a predicted model, not a curated record
UUAAUUGGAGAAAAGAUUGGUCUAAUAGCAGUAAAGUACAAAUCUAGAAAUAGGAAAGUACCGUACAACUUACAUUUUCACUCUAGAACCUUCAAUUCUCAUCUUCUUUCCAAAAUUUCCAUCUAGUUUUCCCGUUCAAUUUUUACAAUUCAGAAUUUAGAACAUUCAUGUUCUAGAAGAAAUUGAAAGAAUGCCUAUACAUGAUAUCUUUCUGCAAUAUGAUAGAAUAGCCUACACUCCUUGAAGCAGACAAGACCUAGAGCUCUUGAAUAGCAAAUGAAAUGGAAAGAAAUUAGAAUAGAAGAUGAUGUCAUUGAACGAUUUCGUCAUAAUUUUGAGAAGCACACAAACUCUUAGGUAAGCUCGGUGUUCUAAGCCAAAUACAGAUCUUUGUCAAAAAUGAAAGCAAAGAGAUAUGGUCUCAUAAAAGUGUUAAAGAUUCAGGGUCACUCCUGCAUACCAAGUUGAAAGAAGCUAUUAUUCUGUAUAUCAUACGAACGGAGCCAAGUAAUAUGAAAGUGAAGGAGUAAUUCGGGAGCAACAUCUGGUGGAGUUGCCUUUUGCGAAUAAAAGAGUUGCCUUCUGCGAAUAAAAUCAACAAUGCAAGAAGUAAGUGGUUUGAAAUUAGGUUCAUAAAGUAACCGUCUUUUGAAUUUGCCCAAAUAAUACCUUCUCGACGACACCGGCAACGAAGAAGAUGACAAUGACAAUGUCAGUCUCUGAAAUGCAUUUUGGUUCAGUUGUUGCUGCAAGGAUUUUGUUUUUGCGAUUAUAUUUAAAAGAGUGUUGCUUCAGUUGCUAUAAAUUUAUCCAUCUACGACAAAUUGACAGUGUAUUCAACAACACUGAUUCCUUUGAUUGUGAAGUUGCAUUUGACCUAUGUUUUUCUGUUU